Long non-coding RNA from Panthera uncia (snow leopard), 8256 nucleotides. RefSeq lists it as uncharacterized. The transcript has 3 exons. The record is from RefSeq and is a predicted model, not a curated record. Lineage: Eukaryota; Metazoa; Chordata; Mammalia; Carnivora; Felidae.
UUUUAGUUGGCAGGAAGUCUCGUAUGAGUCAACAGGGGGGAGGUGGCAGCCAGCAAAGCUAAUGUCACUGUAGCAUCCACCAAGUGGAGGUACAACGAGUGGGGGAGGGAGGAGAUACUCCCGAGUCAGUCUGCAUCCAGGAAAUGGAGCUCAGGUCUGGAAACCUGAGUCAGGGAAAGGGGCAGAGAGCUCACCGGGCUCUCUGACCCAGAGGCUGGGGGUGGAGAGGUGGCUCCUGGCUGCUGCUGGACACUCUCCUCGUCCUCUGGCAUCCCCAAAGCGUAUUAGUCUAUUUCUGAACAAUUACAGCCCCUUCUUGCUCUUGUCCGAUUGCCUUGCCUGCCUCCAGAAUACGCUACUCAUUCAACUUCGGGUUUUAUUCACGUAACCUGAGUACCUGUGGGGAUUCCUUGUGACCUCGUUUCUACAUGAAGUCACAUUCAAAGAAGCCCAAUCCAGCAAGCGAAAGAGAGAGCUUUCCAUCUUCAGGCACACCUCUCAAAGAGAUGAAAAAGAAUGAGGUCCCUGUUUCCUUUUCUCUCUCACUAUCUUGGGCUUCAAGUCUUCUUUAGAAACUUUGACUCUUCCAAGGCACCCCAAACCCUCCGGGCAUCCAUAAUCGACCUGACACGCCAUGACUCUCAACUUUCUGCAUCCCCAUUAUACACAAAGGACUCAACACCUAUGUCUUUUUUUUUUUUUUUCUUCUGGUCCCUCCUUCCCUACCCCCUCUAUGUUCUUCUGGAGUUUUCUUUCCACUUCACUGCUGACCCAAAUUCCUCCCUCCGACAGGGUGGGGGGACUCAGAGACUGAUCUGGCAAGCCAGGAUGCUCCCCCGCGACCUGGGUCUCUCCAGCACUGUCUGUCCCUUCCUUUCCUCCCAGGAACUGCGCUGGCCAAGAUGGAGCUCUGAGGGAGCUGAAUGAGAAGAAACAGAGCAGGCCAAGACCGCAUUUUUGGAGAGUGGGGUGUGUGGGGCAAAUAUGGCGACGGGAGGGAUGACGGGGACGUCGGGAACACUCCGCAUGCAAAGUUUGUCCUCGGUGUUUGUCAGCACACGGUCGCUGUGGGUGGAAGAGCCUGGCCGCCCGUGCGUACAGAUCCUACCUCAGAUUGCCGUGUGAUGGCUGCUUAUAGUGAACAGCAGCAGACAGAGGGCCUCCCCCAAAAGUUCCCCAUCACCUUGCAUGGUUCAUUUCCAUGGCCAUGGGCUCCUCUUCUCCACAGGGCUGACUCUCGUUUCUUUAAUGGCAUACCCUGAGAUGUCCUGGGGGAAGGCUGGCUGGAGAGACAGCACUCACCACAGAUUCCAUGUGCCGGGCUACACUUCCCCGCCUCCUCUGCAGCUAGAUUGGGGCCCCACGGCUUAUUCUGCCCAAUGGGCUGAGACGAAGGCAAUCGCGGGUUGAUGUGCCUCCUCGUUUUGCCAUAGGGACUUUGGACGCCCCGUGUUCCAGACGGCAUGCCAAAAGGGGGAGGGUCUCGCAACUCACGGGGCACCUGAUACGCGCAAGAAAUAAACUUCCAUCUCAAGAUUGAGAUUUCAGUCUUGUCACUGCCACAUGGCCUGGCCUGGCCCCGUGAAUAGUCAGAGCGUCAGAAUUAACGGAGUAAUUGCUAUUCUUGAGCUCUUUAAUGUGAGGAAGGAAGAAGCUGUCUCUGGAGCCACCCGGGGCAGCUGAUUGACGCUUUCCCUGACUGUCAUCAUCCAGCACAGAUGGCACUUCCUGUUUGGUAACACCUCACGUGGGCUUCUUCAUCCCCCACUGACUCUGCCAGUCACCAUCCUACACAGUCAAAUGUGCACAGUAUUAGAAGUUUGCCAAGAACACAUCCUUGUGUCUGCCAAGGAGUGUCUGUUAGAGGAAGAGUAUUCUAGCAGACGAUGUUCAGAGGAGAAAUGGACCACCCCAGGAGGCAGCAAACCCCUUGUCUCUGAGUUUCCUCAUUUGACAACGGGAAGAAAGAUGCUGACCCACCUUGAAGAAUUUCCGUGAGGACCCAGUAAGAAGACGGGCUGAAAACAUUUCGAAAACCCUACAAAGACCAAAGUUGUCAUUUCAAGAAGGAAUUCAUUCAGCGGCAGAUAAGUCGCCCAGUUUCGAAUCUUGCUUCUACCUGUCUCCAGCUGUGUGUCCAAGGACGAAACGGAGUAUUUUUUUUUUUUUUUGAGAAUUUGUUUUCCAUCUUUAAAAUGGGAGCAAAAGGAAUAUCCACCUCUUAGCAUUUCUGCGAAGAUGGUGUGAAAUUGUGUAAGUAAACAGUACAUAUGCCCCAUUGCUAUUUUUAUUGUUGGUUUGUUAUUUUUGCAGAAAGGGAGGAACCUUUACUGUUAGUGCCCUAAGCUUUCUCCCUGCCCCAGAACUGUGGCUUCUGGUUAUCGAGAGGCCUGGCAGGAAAGAGGAAAUGGACGGCUCAGGGAAGCCACCACCGUCCUUGUGAAGGGAGCCACCUGAGGUGGGGGCCACUUGCCCAAGCAAAAACAGCGAUUUGGUGGCAAGGCCAGGUUUCAACCUCAGGUCUCAACUGACCAGUCCCUCUCUCUCUGCUGGCGGUCACUCUGUAGUUUCUCUCUUGAAAGAAGAGACUGUUGACCAAAGGUUGGCCUCUGGGAUAAGGGAGGGGCUGGAAGCUUCUGAUGGGUGGCCACCUCUGAGCGUUGCCUUAUUACAGCUUUGCCGUCUGGGAAGGGCGACUCUGAGGUCAGCAAGCUCCAGGAGAAGCUAGAGAAAGAGGGUUGGUUGGGAGCGGUUGGCUGCUUCGGGCACUGCUGUUUCACGGCUCGGUGGGGGGCAGAGGGAAUCUCAGAACAGAAUUACGAGGCAGGGGGUGUCUGGGCUCUCUGAUUUGGGCCAUUGAUCUUAGGAGCAAGACCAUUCAUUCGCUGAGGAUUCCCUGUUUCUAUCAGCAAUCAUGUAACCAUGCUGUGUUUGGACCAUGCGUGGACAAGGAUGCCUGUAACAUAUAUGGAUUUGUCUAGGCAGCGGGACUCUGACUUCAGAUAGGAGUGUGUGCCGUGGGCUAGGCUGCCGGCAGGUAAGGCCUGGGAUUGGCUCCUCCAUAUAAAAUCUAAAAAAAAAAAAAAAAAAAAAAAAAAAAAAAUUAUAAGGCCUCUAAUGAUUAUUAUGAAAAUUAAGUAAGUCAAUGUUUGCAAAAGUGCCUUGUAAAUCGCAGCACAAAUACCGAAGAAAGUCAUGGUGUGUAGAAUUUGGUCUGAAAAUGCUAGCUGACGCUUGACUGUGUCCCCAGCUCUUCGCUGGAAGCUGCAGAGAAACCAAAUGGGGUUAAGCCUUGUUCGCCCAUCGUGGGGCUGGUGGGCUUUCUCAGCGUGAAAGCCUUUCCCUGCCCCUUCCUUCGAACACGCUUUGAUUAAGCACCUAUUAUAGGCCAGGUUCUGGGCUAGAAGCUGAAUAGUAUGGUGAUCACUGUCUCCUAGGGGACAGACGCUGAGCAAACGGGUAGGUUGCAAAGCCCUGCUGGGUAGCCAGGGAUUGUCACAGAGAAACGGAUGGGUUCAAAGGGCACCAGGCAAGCCUCUGAGCCUCGUUGCAUCAUCUCUAAGAUCCGGACGGGUGGCCUGAACAUUCUCUUGGAAAUCGGUAGCUUGGUUGGAGAGAGUAACCACGAGGUGGGGUGGGCGAGUGGACAGAGGCCAAUUUACACCGGACCUAGCACUGGGGAAGAGGGAAGCAGUGGUGAUCUUGGCCCUUGGAGAGUCCAUAGUGCAGUGGAAAGACAAGAAAACAGCCAGCGACAGCGUAGUCUGGUCUGAGUUUUGACAGGCUAAGUGAGGCCAAGAGGUACGGGAGCCCAGAGGAGGAACCCUUUUCCCCAGCCUGGGAAGUUGGAGUGGAAGUUAGCAAAGCAGAGACGCAAGCUAAGGGAAUUCUAGGCAGAGGGAACCGAAUGAGCAAAGGCAUGGAGUUCUAUCCAGCUAAGACACAGAAUCUGAAAUGGGGAGCGAUAAGGCUGCAGGAGGUACACAGUGAACUUGAACGCCGUGGUGGGGAACUUGAACUUUACCUUGUAUGUAGCAGGGAGCUACUUUAGAUGCAGAAGCAUGAGAUAAAGGAUUAAUCAGGCUUUGCCACCAGGAUGGCAACUGCGAGUGGGUCCAGGGGAGGCAGGCUGCAGAAGUCCUAGAGGCCAACGUGAAAGGCACUUGUCUGGGGUUGAGCCCAUCGUACGGCAAGUCUAGAGUGCCAUUGAACUUCCACGGACUCAGCGGCAACCUUCCCCACACAAUGCCCCCUGCCUUGCUCCGGUCUGGGGAGGAUGGGGCCCCGAGCUGAGAACGCUCCUGCAGGGCCCAGGCCUUCAGAACAGCCCUCCGGGGGGAUGGCCCCCUCCAGCCUCGAUGGGCUAGUUCAGGCUGCUUUAGCUGGGGCCCAUUUGGCUGCAAGGGACAUUUUGCUCAAGCCAAAUGAUGACCUUGUGGAAAGGAGAUGACGAAGUUUCACAAAACCCAGGGGUGAAAGCUUCAGCCCCGCUUCUGAGGAACUAAGAGUCCAAAACUGCAGAGUCCUGCCUAAGGCUCUUUUCCCACACUCGCGGCUCUCCUUCCUCCUUCUUCUCUCCAUCUGAGGGCCAGCUCUCUCUGGUAGAGGAGAGCCCCACUGCCCGGCUUCUCCUCCUCACCGCCAAAUGCCCCAUAGUGGCGGAGGAGAGGACUUCCCUCUGGUCGCUGGGAUCCGGGCAGUCUGAGGGGCUGUGCCUCGGGGCAGGGGGCCUGGGGCCAAGAAAGGGGGUGUGUCCUAGACAGCAGGGCUCCAGAGCCUACUCCUCUGGGUCUGUUGGGGGGUGGGCUUGUGGGUGGGAGGGGUGCCGGCACUGGAUUGGCCCCCAAGGGCUGUCCGUUCUAUUAGACCCGGUGAGCCUGCCCUCCAGGUGCACAGUAGUCAGAAUCCACAGAGACCUCCACUCACCUUUUCAGGAAGGGAGACAGACCAGAAAAAUCCCCAUGUUUGCUACUGUGGACAGUGAAAGCAGGUAAGUAAAGGGUCUGAGAAGAGCCUGCCUUGGGGGUGGUGGGCAGGGGUGCAGGAGGGCCGGGCCCUUUUGCUACGGGCUUGGGGAGCCGGUUCAGAGCCUGGCGACCUGGUAGGAGGUGGCCGAUCUUGGAGGAAGAGGCUGAGGCCCCUAGGGCUGGAGGCUAACGGGGGCAGAGCCAGCAUCUUGGGGCUGAGGAGGGGCCCAAGACUUCUGGGGUGGGCGUGCGAGGUUCCUUUGUUUCCGAUGCCCCGUGGACUUCACACGGCACCAGCUGGAGGAACCAGAGGCCAUUGGGUGGUUUUCCCCAAAUGUGGAGGAAUCUCUCCCCUCCCCCACCUCUGGUGUUGCUAGAAGCUGGGCUUCCUGGGGGUUCUCAUAAACUCAGGAGGCUCUGUAAUCGUUUCCAUAUAGAAUGGUUUCCCUGAAUAGCGAAGGAGGCCAGCUGUAGCUGAUGGAACACAAAACAGCAUGCGCUGCUGGGGGAUAAACGUGAACGCCUAUCCCUGUGCCUGGCAUGCCACCCCCCCCCCCGUCCCCCCAACUCCAGGAGGGAGGAGGUUGCCCAGUGGGUAAGCACGUGGCCUCUGGUCUCUGCACCACACGCUUCAACUCCGGCACGAUUGCUCACCGGUCGAAACCCCAGGCACAUUACUCAAAUCUUGCCGGGUCUCAGUUUUCUCUCCUGUGAAAUGGGCAUGACGAUAGCCCGAAGAAAGGUUGUGGUCCUCAGGAUUUAAUGAGACACCUGGAAUAGCACGCAGCACGGGUGUCUGGAUGGGCUCACUAACACUAGAGGUUUCGAUGGUCACUGUCCCUGUUUUCGGCACGUGCCGCAGGGCUCAGCCCAGUCCCUUGUGGUUUCUCUAUUGGUUUCCAGUGUGGUUACAACAUACCUGAUGUGCUAACCAUCCCCACGUCCUCCGUGCUUGCUAAACUCUCCCCACAACUUGCUUGGGCUCUUUCCUCCUCUGGGAACCCUCCUUGUGAGAGCUGCCCGGCCACGACCUCACCGCUCCUUGGGGUGCUGCCCGACCCGCCCUCCUUCCUGAAAGCGUGCCGCAGAUCCGGGAAGGAAUUCGCCACUUCGCCUCCAACUCCCCAGGCUCAGAAUUUCCACGAAUCUCUGUGAGAGGGAGGCAGCAGCACGCAGCACGUCACGUCACGGUGCAGCUCUAGGGUGGCACAGCUGUAGCCCUAGCUGUGUGACCUUGGCUUGCCUGGGCCUCAGUGUCCUUGCGCGUCACAUGGAGACGAAGCUUUGUUCACAGGGCUGUUGUAAGACACGGAAAGCAGAGACAAUGCCUCCUGGCACCUAUGAAGGGCUCACAAAAGAUUGGAUAUUUCUAUAAAAAUAAUCUCCAAAAGCCUGGCUUUUAAUGGCUGUGAUAUCUACUGUGUGGGUAGAUCAUAAUUUCAUUAACCAGCCCCUUGUUGUUGGGCAUUUAGACUGUUUCCACUCUUUCGCUAUUAUAAAUAAUGCUGCGGUGAACAUCUUGUAUAUAAAUCUUUCUGUUUAUCUCUGCUUCUUUAAAAGAGCUCCCCAAAGAUUGCUUGUCUUAGAACAAAGCCCCUGCCCCCCAGACUUUCCAGUGAUACCCUUUGAAAUAAAAGCAAAGCCUAUUUUCCACCAGGGAAAGGAACAUAUGGAACAUGUUAACCAAGAGGUGGUUCAGGAGGAAGGUAGAAAUAGGUUCAAGAUGGGUUUGGAUCCAUUUCAGGAUGUCUGACACAAAGCCAGUGAUACAGCUCCCCUCGAGCCUCCUUCCCGGAGCGAGGCAGAGGCUGAUCCUCGGGGACCACUGACUUCUUUCUUUGAGAGAAUUCCAAAGGGCUUUGAUGUUCUUGGCGUGGGAGAAGCAACAAUGACAGAUCAAUAAACGAAGCCAGAAUGUGUGGACAAUCCGGGACUCCUCCAGCCGGUAGGGGGCGAUAUCGCCUGCUUCUGUCUUCCAGUUGGGCCUAGGGUUUCUCCCUAACAAGGACUUCCUUUGUUGUUGUCUUAAAACUUUGGCUUAGGCUUUAUAUAUUUCUCUCGCCUGUUUUCCUUCCUCUCCUCCCACCUACGCACUUUUCAGAAUCACUUUGGGUUGCCAUUCAUUCAUCCCAUUCCUUUGGGAGAAAUGUACUGCGUGCUUCCCCUAGGCCAGACAUCAAGAUUGUGUUCAGACUUUCUAAGACCUAGACACGCUUGCUCUGGAAGCUCCGACUCACACGGAUCAAAUGUAUUGCAAUUCACCCAUAUUCCAUAUGAGGUAUAUUUUUUCUGUGAAGAAAAAUAAGGAUUAUAUUUUAUAACGUCACUUUUGAAAUUAUUUGGCUACAAGUAAUUCGUUCCAUCUACGGCCGGCUUUGAUUUCGCAGCAGUUAUGGGGGUGCUCGAGAAUUCUUGCAAAGUGAGAAACAUCUAACCUGCACGUCGUUCUCAAAGACAGUGAAAUUUUUAUGAAUUUUUAGGAAUGCUAAAUGAAACCAUUAAUGCGGUUGAUGUAAUAUUCUGUUUUGUGGACGUUUCAGUAAAAUUUUAUUCAUUUCCAUUGCAAAGCUUUUCCUUCGUGUUUGGGAUCCAAUAAUUUUGUUUUCAGAUCUACAGACAGUUUUUAGGGAUCUCUGAAAAGUUCCCAGGCCCUGUAACCGUGCCCAGUGCCUAGCAGAGCCCUCUGUGAGGCUCAGGCACGGAGAAACGGAAGAGUUGGGACAGUUUUUACAGAGUUCCCAGGCCAUCGAGUGGCACACUAAUUUAGGUAAGCGUUGCUAUAAUGGAGUGUGAGCGGGACACAGUGAAAGUAUCAUUUGCUCUAAGUUGAGACUCCAGGGGGAGUCAGUGAAGACUUUCAGAGAGCAGGUGCGUCCGAGCCAGAAUAUGCGACUGGCGAGCAGUUUUCGAAGCAGAUACCAGUGGGGAGGGUGUUGUGGGCAGGCGGCACAGCACAUACAAAGGGGGUGGCCGGGAAAAGAACCUCUGCCUAUGAACAAGCCAGCUGACCUCUCAGUGCUGCCCACACCGAUCGCUAGGGCGUCGUUUUCCAGACCAGCGGCACUGGUGUUGGCAAGGCGGUCGUAGGCACCCCCCCCCCCCGGAACCUCCUCCGUGUUAAUAGGAUCCCUGGCGAUUUGAAUGAACCCCAAGAUCUGAGAGGCAGGCUCUAGUUCCAGCUGGAUCGGAGCUAGGCCUCCUCAGGGAUUGGGGCUGUGGGAGAUGGGGAAGGUGGUGGUCGGCCCGCAGAACUGCAGCCCCGACAGAGCGGCAGGCCAGCUGUUUCAAA